RNAcentral lists this ribosomal RNA (424 nucleotides) under uncultured bacterium. Its description in RNAcentral is "partial 16S ribosomal RNA". It matches the Rfam family "Bacterial small subunit ribosomal RNA", at positions 360 to 776 of the family's 1533-position model. The record is from RNAcentral.
AAUUUUGGACAAUGGUGGAAACCCUGAUCCAGCAUUGCCGCGUGAAGUAUGAUGGCCUUCGGGAUGUAAAUUGCUUUUGUACGGAAAGUAUAGUUUUGGGCUAAUACCCUGGGAUCAUCUCAGUACCGUAAGAAUAAGCACACGCUAACUACGUGCCAGCAGCCGCGGUAAUACGUAGGGUGCAAGCGUUAAACGGAAUUACUGGGCGUAAAGCGUGCGCAGGCGGUUUUGGAAGACAGUGGUGAAAUCCCCGGGCUCAACCAGGGAACUGCCAUUGUGACUACAAGGCUGGAGUGCGGCAGAGGGGGAUGGAAUUCCGCGUGUAGCAGUGAAAUGCGUAGAUAUGCGGAGGAACACCGAUGGCGAAGGCAAUCCCCUGGGCCUGCACUGACGCUCAUGCACGAAAGCGUGGGGAGCAAACAGG